Molecule: ribosomal RNA, 465 nt
Filed under: Vreelandella stevensii
Lineage: Bacteria; Pseudomonadati; Pseudomonadota; Gammaproteobacteria; Oceanospirillales; Halomonadaceae
Description: partial 16S ribosomal RNA
Rfam family: Bacterial small subunit ribosomal RNA
Source: RNAcentral
CCUACGGGCGGCAGCAGUGGGGAAUAUUGGACAAUGGGGGCAACCCUGAUCCAGCCAUGCCGCGUGUGUGAAGAAGGCCCUCGGGUUGUAAAGCACUUUCAGUGAGGAAGAACGCCUGGUGGUUAAUACCCAUCAGGAAAGACAUCACUCACAGAAGAAGCACCGGCUAACUCCGUGCCAGCAGCCGCGGUAAUACGGAGGGUGCGAGCGUUAAUCGGAAUUACUGGGCGUAAAGCGCGCGUAGGUGGCUUGAUAAGCCGGUUGUGAAAGCCCCGGGCUCAACCUGGGAACGGCAUCCGGAACUGUCAAGCUAGAGUGCAGGAGAGGAAGGUAGAAUUCCCGGUGUAGCGGUGAAAUGCGUAGAGAUCGGGAGGAAUACCAGUGGCGAAGGCGGACUUCUGGACUGACACUGACACUGAGGUGCGAAAGCGUGGGUAGCAAACAGGAUUAGAUACACGUGUAGUA